UACGUAGGGUGCGAGCGUUGUCCGGAAUUAUUGGGCGUAAAGAGCUCGUAGGCGGUUUGUCGCGUCUGCUGUGAAAACUCGGGGCUUAACCCCGGGCCUGCAGUGGGUACGGGCAGACUAGAGUGCGGUAGGGGAGACUGGAAUUCCUGGUGUAGCGGUGAAAUGCGCAGAUAUCAGGAGGAACACCGAUGGCGAAGGCAGGUCUCUGGGCCGAUACUGACGCUGAGGAGCGAAAGCGUGGGGAGCGAACAGG
RNAcentral lists this ribosomal RNA (253 nucleotides) under uncultured bacterium. Its description in RNAcentral is "partial 16S ribosomal RNA". It matches the Rfam family "Bacterial small subunit ribosomal RNA", at positions 524 to 776 of the family's 1533-position model. The record is from RNAcentral.